Long non-coding RNA from Oncorhynchus kisutch (coho salmon), 466 nucleotides. The record is from Ensembl. NCBI's taxonomy places the organism in Eukaryota, Metazoa, Chordata, Actinopteri, Salmoniformes, Salmonidae.
UUUUCUCUCAGCCGUACUAGAAUUGAGUGCGUGGUAGGAUUUCAGUGUACACUGAUUAAGCUUUGUGAUAUGUGUUUUUUGCUGUGGUCUUCUUCUUUAAAGUGUCUCUCAGUGAGUGUCCCUUUCUCGCGUGGUCUGAAAAACCAGCGGGUGGCCAGCAUCAGCAUGAAUUCCCUGGGUAUCACUCUUCCAACACCCUGCCCAUGGACAACACCAUGGCCAUGAAAAGACGGGCACCCAUGCCCCCCAUGGCAGGCUCCCAAAGCGCCCCUGCUAACCUCAACGUCCAGCCGUUGACCUCUAAGAAGAAGAGGAGAGCCCCCCCCCCCCCCCCCCCACCAUCAUCCUCCUGUGUUAACACCCACAACGGAUCACCCCUGAGAUCAAAGGUCAGUCAUUUUGAAUCACUAGUUGACUUGACAUGUGAAUGAACUCUCAGUGUUGUAAUAUUGAGUUAGAUCAGGAA